CUUGGAGAGAUGCAGUGAAGUAGCAAAAUGGCAUAAGAAUCCUUGUUUGGCUGGUGAGGUGAUGCAGACUUGCAAUACUUAAAAUACACUUGCCUGAGUAGUGACAGUCCUUAAAAUACAUGCAAAGCAUCCUCAUGAAGUAAGAAGCAACUCCACAGAAAAUGGAAGUGUCCAGAAAUUAUGCAAAUAGUAACUAUGCUGGGAAUCCUUUGGUAACCCUGUUCCCUUGUAUCAGAACAUGCAGCUGUCAUGUCUAAAAACUUCAAAUAAAUUUCUGAAACCUUGUAGCUACAGGAGAAUGUUUUCUGGUGUCAGCAUUACCACUAACAUUAUUGAUUCUUUUCCUACAGCUUGGAGGGGAACUUGGCACCAUGUUUCUUGGCCUCUCCAAAUCUGGAUUAUGAUGGAUACCACAAAUACAUAGAUGAAAUGCUUCCAUCUGAAAGCCCUGUACUAUAUGGACUGCACCCCAGUGCUGAGAUGGGAUUCUUGUCAACAUCAGAUAAUCUCUUCAAAUCUCCUUUGGAAAAGCAAGCCAUAUCUCCGUGGGAGAGGGAUCAGGCCAGUCUGCAGUGAAGAGCUGCAAUGCAGAGCAGGAACAACUGGCCUUUGGAUAAGGUGUGCUCAAUUGCAGAUGUAACCAAAAGACCAAGGAGGAGUAUGACCACCCAGCAAGAAAAGGAGCCUGUACCUGUAUGCCUUCUGUGCAAGGUAAGAAAUGAACUUAAAUUGCUUGAUCUCCUAGUUCAGGAACUCUAUUAGGCAGUGAAGCUGCAUCAAGUGUUGCACUAAAGCAUUGUGACCCUAUGAACAGCACCAAGCAGCUUAGGCGUGGUGCUAGAUUGCUGGCAUUUGUCACUGUGGCUUUAAAUUUCAUACCAGCUUGGUGUUCUAAUCAUUAAAUAUACUUCCUGCACUUAAAUAACUGUAAGUAUGUCUGAACAAGGCCUGCAUUGUAGUAAAGCAGCAGCUCUAAUCCAACUGAGGUUCAGAAGCUUAAAGACUAUUCCAGAAACUAUAAAUUUCACAAAAAUGAACUUCUAUAUAUUUUUUGCAACCCUUAGAGGUGCAGAAUAGGGUAGUAGCUAGCACAUGCUAGCAACCUGGAUCAAGUAACC
Molecule: long non-coding RNA, 1118 nt
Filed under: Junco hyemalis (dark-eyed junco)
Lineage: Eukaryota; Metazoa; Chordata; Aves; Passeriformes; Passerellidae
Description: lncRNA (ENSJHYG00000004526.1)
Source: RNAcentral